CUUGAAAAAUAAAACCAAGAAAUAAAUUAAUUUAAUAUUGUGAUGAAUUUGAAUAUCGUCAUUUGUCGCAAAACUAGGCCUAUAGUUACUUAUAUAUCCUAUAAGUAAGAACAGAUGUGUAACUUCAGUAAAAAAGUUGUCCCAUGGUCGCCAUCUUCCUAGCAAGUGUCGCUUGCGUGAUUAUUCGUCAUUUGGUAGUACGUCAUUGCUUUCAAAAAUGUUUUCAACACCUUUUCUAGAACUUUAAU
This is a non-coding RNA of Paramuricea clavata, 248 nucleotides long. The record is from the annotation of a GenBank genome assembly. NCBI's taxonomy places the organism in Eukaryota, Metazoa, Cnidaria, Anthozoa, Malacalcyonacea, Plexauridae.